GUCCCGUUCGUCUAGAGGCCUAGGACACCGCCCUUUCACGGCGGCAACACGGGUUCGAAUCCCGUACGGGACG
This is a non-coding RNA of Acetobacter pasteurianus IFO 3283-01, 73 nucleotides long. The record is from Rfam. Lineage: Bacteria; Pseudomonadati; Pseudomonadota; Alphaproteobacteria; Acetobacterales; Acetobacteraceae.